RNAcentral lists this ribosomal RNA (317 nucleotides) under Laonice sp. NHM 131. RNAcentral's name for it is "partial large subunit ribosomal RNA". It matches the Rfam family "Archaeal large subunit ribosomal RNA", at positions 2012 to 2540 of the family's 2987-position model. The record is from RNAcentral. Lineage: Eukaryota; Metazoa; Annelida; Polychaeta; Spionida; Spionidae.
GGUAUCCUGACCGUGCUAAGGUAGCAUAAUCAUUUGCCUCUUAAUUGGUGGCUAGUAUGAAUGGACACACGCAAGUGCCCCUGUCUCAUUAGUAUUAAUAAAAAUUACCAAUCAGGUGAAGAGGCCUGAAUAAAAUAAAAAGACAAAAAGACCCUAUGGAGCUUUAUUUAAAUCCCUAAUCACACCAGCCCUACACCACCCCACCUUAGGCAAAUAAAUUUAGUUGGGGCGACUAAGGAAAAUCAUAAAUCUUCCUCCCUAAAAAGAAAAUAAAUCCCGAUUGAUCCGUUAUACGAAUAUAGACACAGCUACCCUAG